UUCUUUCUUUCUUUCUUUUU
RNAcentral lists this small RNA (20 nucleotides) under Arabidopsis thaliana (thale cress). Its description in RNAcentral is "ATSL074590". Lineage: Eukaryota; Viridiplantae; Streptophyta; Magnoliopsida; Brassicales; Brassicaceae. The record is from RNAcentral.